UUUUGUACAGAUUUGAAAGUUGGUUAGCUAAUAAGUCGACCGGAUAUAUUUGAGGGUGCAGCUGUGAUUCUUGUUGUCGACCGAGCACCCUAUACGGUGAUGGUUUAGUAUCGAUUUCGUAAUGACAGAAAAUACUUGAGGUUUCAGCUGUGAUUUUUGUCGUUGAUGGGGCGAGAUAUAACGUGACGAUUUUGCAUCAAUGACUUUCGGGAUGUAAGGUGAUGAUUUUGCUAGUUUUGCAUCAAUGACUUUUGCAGCGACGUGACAGCCAAUAUUUGUUUGAUAGUUCUUCAUGUUUUCUCGAAUAUACGGUUAUGGUUUAGUAUCGAUUGCGUAAUGACAGAACAUACUUGAGGUUUCAGCCGUGAUUUUUGUCAUUGAUGGGGCGAGAUAUAACGUGACGAUUUUGCAUCAAUGACUUUCGGGAUGUAAGGUUCUUGCAGGAAGCUAUUUUUCUGUGGCAGGAGCAGUCGUGGGCUUAUUAAAACCUGGGAGGAUGAGCAUGUUUGGAACACUUUUGGUAAUAUGGGGCCUUGUGAAGUAAGGGAUCCUAGGAAAGCCCGCAAAUAUAGAUCCUGCUAAAGCUAUUUAUGUCUAUCCAACAAUGUUGCUUGCCUUGAUCUGUGCCUUCUCUUCUGUGAAGUAUGAUGCGAAGAAGGCUGUGAGAAGUGCCCCUGCUAGACCCAUUGCAAAGCCUCUGCACAACUCUUCAAAGUCCAAACUGAAAUGAGUUGAUUGCCUGUAAUCUUUUUGUAAUUUUAUUUUUUUAAUCUUAGAAAUUUCACAUUGGUUGAUGAGUUGAACUUGAAGCUGUAUGUGUUUCUGCCAAAAUCAAUUUUGAACAGAAAAACUGAUAUUAGUAUUAACUCACGAAUAUGUUGAUAUUAAUCAAUCAGUUAAUCUUCCUUUUGAGCAUGUU
Non-coding RNA from Jatropha curcas, 919 nucleotides. NCBI's taxonomy places the organism in Eukaryota, Viridiplantae, Streptophyta, Magnoliopsida, Malpighiales, Euphorbiaceae. The record is from RefSeq and is a predicted model, not a curated record.